GACGUAGGGCGCGAGCGUUGUCCGGAUUUAUUGGGCGUAAAGAGCUCGUAGGCGGCUUGUCACGUCGGGUGUGAAAGCCCGGGGCUUAACCCCGGGUCUGCAUUCGAUACGGGGCUGGCUGGAGUGUGGUAGGGGAGAUCGGAAUUCCCGGUGUAGCGGUGGAAUGCGCAGAUAUCAGGAGGAACACCGAUGGCGAAGGCAGAUCUCUGGGCCGUAACUGACGCUGAGGAGCGAAAGCAUGGGGAGCGAACAGG
Molecule: ribosomal RNA, 254 nt
Filed under: uncultured bacterium
Lineage: Bacteria
Description: partial 16S ribosomal RNA
Rfam family: Bacterial small subunit ribosomal RNA
Source: RNAcentral